CGGAUGACCAUCCCUGAGCCCCUUUGGACCUUUGACCUCUGCCUCAUCUCCUGUGUGUUCUUCUAACACCCUUGUAAAUAGUUCCCUGUAUUUCAUUCACUCACAGACGGGCUGCCGAUUCCCAGAGCCAUACGUUCACCAAAUGGGAAGAGGUUUGUCAAUCCAGUCCUGUGUCUCUGCCGUCUGCACCCCCGACCCCGUGCUCCUCCCUCAGAACCCAGUUGCUCUCCUUUCGGAACCCAGAACACACAUCUUUCUUGCUCGUUCCUCACUGGCAGAGCUGACCGGUUUCCACUUGUACAGUUCCCUGAGCUGUAAGUCUCUGCCAUCUAACUCUUUGCGGAAAAGGCCUCUGGGCAUGAAGGGCUUGAAGGCUCUCUAUUGAACAUUCUCAGCAGCUCUGUUUUGCAUGAAAAAAAAAAAAAGCAUCCCGGAGGAGUUAGUGACUAUCACACAGCACAAGCUUUCAUUAAAAUCAGCAACUCAAUCCGGGUGGAUGUCCUGUAUUAGAACCGAUCAUGGUAUAACACCAGGGGCGUGGCUCGCUAAAGCGCUUACCGUGCAAGCGUGAGAACCCAGCUCUCACAUAAAAACUCAGGCCUCACACAAGCACCUGCCGAGGACUGGAGCAGGAGACUCCCUGGAGCUUGAUGGAUAAAUCGUUCCAGGGAGAGACGGGGUCUCAGUCAAUCAAUCAGUCAUCAACCAAUCAAGUGAGACGCCAUGGAGGAAGAUACCUGAUGCCCAUAUCACAUGUACAUGUGUGCACAUGCGCACCCGCAUGAAUGCACGGGAGAUCAUACUUUGGGUCACACACCAGUGACUGGAAAGUCACCUUUUAAUCUCAUCAUUACAUACACCAUUGAAGGGGCCAGCCCCUCCCCCAGCCCCCUGCUUUGGCAGCCAGGACAGGCUGCAGGAAAGACCCAGCAAGAGAAAGGCCCCUGACUCAGCGGUGUGUGCUGAACGUCUCACCUUGUCCUCACUAGGAAGCCAGAUACUCAACGUGGGAAGGAACCAAUCAAUCAGAAAUUAGCUGGCAGGCUCUGGAUGUGCUUUAUAACAGUGGAAUUCAGAGCAUAGCAACCGCCCUGGGCGGGCCCAUAGGCCAUAGCAACCAGGUGACCAAUCAACACAGGACAGGUUGUCCAACCCCAGAAAUGCACCAAUCCUGAGAUUUUUGUGGACCCCUAGACACUCACCUUGCUCACCCCAAUAAAUUCCCUGCCUCUUGGUCCCUCUGGCCCCACCUGCUGUGUCAGACAGACCCAGAAACUGAUUUAAAUACAGUUAACUCACUAAACAAUAAAAGACUCUUUGCUUUUGCAUCAGUCGGAGAUUUGGGGGUUCAAAAUUUGGGCACAACACCAUCAGGAGUAUGUGGAGGCUGCAGAAGUCAUGAGUGAGCUAGGGCAGGUCAUGCCAUUUCCCCAGGCCCCGGUGUGGUCAUAACUAUAAGAUGAAAGAUGAGAGCCGGGCGUUGGUGGCGCACGCCUUUAAUCCCAGCACUCGGGAGGCAGAGGCAGACGGAUCACUGUGAGUUCGAGACCAGCCUUGUCUACCGAGCGAGUUCCAGGACAGCCUCCAAAGCCACAGGGAAACCCUGUCUCGAAAAACCAAAGAAAAAGAUGAAAGAUGAGGCCUAUUCUCCAGGCCCCCCAGUCUCAUAGAGCUGCGGAUGCGACCCAGAGCCUCAUUGAUGCUGAGGCAAACGCUCUGUAACCAAGCCACAUUCCCAGACCACGCCUCACUGCUCGCUCGCUCUCUCUGAAUAAUGACAGUCUAAGAGAAAACAGCCGGAUGUUCACGGAGACUGUAGCAAGAGUUUCUUCUCUUUCAAAAAUGGCUAAGUCUCUAAAACCACGAUGUUUAGCCCCAGUUUUGUAUGUGACUGUGUGUCAUCUGCCUUCUCGAUAAACUGCAGGAUCUACACAUGGGUUCUGGGAGCUGAGGAACCUUUAGGAGGUAGAAUUUACGCCUGCCCGGAAUUCAGCAUCCUGUGUGUGCUCCCACCAUCUAUGCUAUAACAAACCAUCCUCGGGUACAUAUCACUCUCUGGGCCAGGGCAGUCUAUAAGAAUGGACCAGGAGUGGCCUCCACUAUGCCAGCCUGGCCCUUCCCCUGGACUGCAACAGCUAGAGGACAGAGACCUGGCCAAGCCACAUGCUCUGCCCUUCAUACCGCUAAUGAGGGAAAGUCAAGGUUUACAGCAAGUGACUGUGACCGCAUGCUUUGCUGCCAUCACACACCUCGGGGACUCAGCCUCCAACAGCAGUUCCUUCUCUUGCAGAGUGGGCUCAUUCACCCUGCCAGAACCCGGGCUGUGCACCCCAGGUCCACACCCAUCACAGGAGCCCUGAAAGACUUCUGAGUCAGCCUGGAGCUGAAAGUCAGAUGGCAUCACCCAGAGACCUGCCAAGUGACUGUUGUGACCUAGGUAGGACCAGCAACAACACCAACAUGAAUGCCGCCAUUGGCUGAAGCGGGAAGGGUGGAGACUUGCUUCUACCAGCCCUGUGACCAUGAGCAUGUGAGGGAGGCUUUGUACACACAGUGGGAACACAGAGUGGGACCGAGGGCCAGAGGAGGCCUGCCUCCAACCUGCAAGGUUUUGUCCUAGUGACCUAGUUCCAUUAGCCAGCCCUACCUCUUAAAGGGCCCACAGCCCUAAACUAGCAGAACCAGCUGGGAACCAAGUAAACAUAACAUGAACCUGUGGGGACACUUCAGAGUCAAACAGCGACUGUCCUGAUGUCUGUUGUGACCUAGGUGGAGCCAUCAUGGACACCAGCAUCGCCCAUUGGUUAAGGUGGGAAGAAUGUGGAUUUGCUUUAUGUACACAUACCAAAAACAUCACCAAGAAGUCAAACUGCUAACUACUCCAUGGUAAAUUUUCCUCCUGCAUGCCAAGGAUGCCACACUAGCAGAUUUGGAUGCCUGCCGUCCAUGUGCCGUCUGUGAAAGCCAUUGUCUGAGUUUUCCCUGUGAGAUGAACACUAGGAAACCACUAGAGGAAAUAUGUGCUGCUGGCUCCCAGAUGUUGUUAAAAAGAGAACGAGAGUCUGCCAUACUGGCUCAAGAGGCUAACUAUGUCAGCACUUCAUAUCUGUCCUUCCCAAAGUAUUGAAGAACUAUUUUCCCGCAUAACUGAGUGUGUUCCCUGUAUCUCCAUUUUUAAUCUGGAGGUCCUGAAGUUGGACCAGGCAAAGUUCCUCCCUCCACUUGCGUAGGAAGUAAGUCAGGUGAAGGAAGGUUCCGGACACACGCACUUCCCCAGCAGGCUUCGGGAGAUCUGUGGCCCACAAAAAAUUAAAAUGUAUCACACUAGCUUCCAAAAACCCUGAGCAUCCCUGAGCUGUGGGAGGGACCUGCUUUGGCCUCUAGAUACUACAGAGUUCCUGGGAGCUGGUCUAUACCCCAGUGACUCUAAAAAGUUGAGUUGAAAUAGAACGAGAGUAGUGCUAAGGAACACCCACUCCAUUGCUGAAGCAGAAACUUCUGGAAGCUCUUGUUCUCUGGGACUUGGAGAGAGUGCUGUGGCUGCUGACAGAGAGGGCUUGGGUGCAAGACGUGUCCCCAGUGACCUACUUCUAGUUAAGUUCUACAUCCAAAUAUUCCCAGAAUCUUCCAAAACAGUACCACCAGCUCCUGGAACCUGGACAUUAACAGCCUGUAGGGGACAUUUAAUUUUCAAACAAUAACAAACCAUAUAGAUUUUUAAAGGAAAACACAAGGCAUGGCAAAAGCCACCCUCCGGUGGUCCCUGAUUGUCACCUUUGAACACCUGACCCGGGCUAUCUGUCUGUCUUGCCUAUAAGCUGGUCUAAGUACUUUUUCUUCCUCAGCAGCCUUUACUGAUCACACUGUUUAGAUCUUGCACUUUCUUCUAACGUUGUGAUCCUCAGAUAAAAACCCACAUUUGAGGGCUAAGGAGAUGACUCAGUGGUUAAAGAGCUUGCUGGGUACAGGCUUCUGUACAAAUGUGGCAUGAACAUGGCAGCCAACAUAUAAUUCCAGUCUUGGAAGGCUAAGAUGGGGUCCCUAGAGCACACUGGCUAAGCAUCCUCACAAGAUUCAAUCGAACUCUUGAGUUUGAUUGAGAAACCCUGCUUUAAUGAAUAAGCAAAGGAUUAUUGGAUGAUUCUAGACAUCAACUUUGGGCCUUCAUAUGCACACAAACACACAUUCAUGGGCGCUCACGCACGCACGUGCACACACACACACACCAAACAUGUAUACAUUCACAUAGACCCCGACUCCCUCCCCCCCUUCUCUAAUGGAGAGAGGCAGAAAAUAACCUUCGUUGAAUCAACUCUCCAUCGCUAAGUAAAUGACUCAUUACAUAUCUCCUUCCUAGAACACACUCAAACCUAGGCAUCCUGACUCCAAAUCUGGAAUGGUACCCACAAGGUCCCAGUGGUUUGAGGCUCUGGUGCAGAGUAGGAAGCCAGAAACAAUGCCUUAAAGGAACACAUUUGCCUUGGGAGGCUUCCAAGCUCCAUUCCUGCUGUCAUUACUGCAGUGGCCAAUGGGAAACACUCACACAGGAGUCAGAAUCGUCAGAACAAGUUCCUCCCACCCAGGCUGGCAGCUGCCCUGGAGCUGCCAUGAUGGCAUCCCCCAGCUGUAUUUCCAGGAACGUCACAGACAACUGUCUCCAUGACACCUCUCAACAGUGAAGGCACUGUCUUUGUCACAAGAGUCCCUGAGUGAGCUCCUACAUAGACGUGUUAAUACUCCACUUUCAAUCACUCGGGGCUUGGUGACAAGUGGCUUGAGUCUUCCUUUGACCAUCCUUCAAAAAUAUAUUGAAUCCACACCUAUGCCCAGCACUUUGCUGCUGGCCAGGAAUGGAGAAAAAUAAUUGUCAAGAACCCCUUGCUCAUCGUUGUCUCUCUGUCCAGCGAGAAAGCUGAGUUUCCUGGAUGGUGCUGACUGGACACUGCAGGACCAGGCUCUCCUGUAGGGACUGACACCCAAAUGCAUGACAGAGAUUGAGACCCCAUCCAGCAGUGUGCAGCUGGGCAGUAAGGGCUUAAACUUGGUGAUGCAGAGGCUCAAACCAUUCAUGGAGGCUGAGUUCUACUUCUCAAGGCUGCCUCUGUUGUGGGUGGCAUCUACAGCAGGGCCAUGGAAAGUGCCCCCGGGGCUUUGGGCUGAACUUUUUGUUGUUAUUUUAUUAAGUCCAGCUCCACAACCGAUUGAAAGUUCUCAUGGCAGACAGUGAGUCCCCAGGCUCAGCGCCAACUUGCCGCACCAUUGUUUGAGUGAGAGUAUUCUUACCUACCAUUUACCUCGGGCCCCCACAUGCUAGUUCUUAGACAUCAAACUCACCCACCUCUUGCUCAUCCCCUUCCUUCUGAGGUUGCUAUGUCAGUUUUCUGAGACUGGCUAAUUUAUAAAGAAGAGAAUUUUGUUUAGCUUUGCAGUUAUCACAUCUGGUGAGAACCUUUUUGCCGUGUCAUAGUCUAAUAGAGGACAUUACAUAGACCGUUUGUAUCUCCCUUCUUCUUACAAGGCCACUAAUCCCCUUUUGGGGAGCCCACCCUCAGGACCUCAUCUAAUCCUAAUCACCUCCAAAGGGCCUUACCUCCAGAAACAUUAACAUGAAUUUGAGAGUUAAGUUUGCAACCUACGAACUCCUAAGGAACUUACUCAAAUUGUAGCAAUUGCUUUCCAUAAAUGAAAUAUCUUUGAGGCCCUUUAAAAUGCAGGGGUUUGGGGUCUGGAUGAUGGUAAAAAGUACUUGCAAAGAAAGCCUGAUAACCUGAACUUCAUCCCCAGAGCCCUCAUAGAGGGAUAGAGGAGAAUCAAAUCCACAAAGUUGUCCCCUGACUUCCACAUUCCCUGUCUUCCUGCUCUGCUCUCCCUAAGGUGCUGGUCCUGUUUUCCUUUAAGAAUAUAGCUCAGAAGUUAGAGUCCAGUUGUUUCAGGUCCACAUAACUGCAAAGGAGGCUGGGAAAUACAGUCUCUAAUCUGGGAACAGGACUGAAAGUUCUAUUACUGUGGAGGAGAGAUGAGAAGGGCACUGGGGUGCAGUGUGGUGUAUGUAUGUAUGUAUGUGUGUAUGUAUGUAUGUAUGUAUGGUGUAUG
Molecule: long non-coding RNA, 6093 nt
Organism: Mesocricetus auratus (golden hamster)
Lineage: Eukaryota; Metazoa; Chordata; Mammalia; Rodentia; Cricetidae
Exons: 3
Source: RefSeq, a predicted model, not a curated record